RNAcentral lists this transfer RNA (76 nucleotides) under Hyphomicrobiales bacterium. Its description in RNAcentral is "tRNA-Lys". It matches the Rfam family "tRNA". From Rfam's summary of the family: Transfer RNA (tRNA) molecules are approximately 80 nucleotides in length. Their secondary structure includes four short double-helical elements and three loops (D, anti-codon, and T loops). Lineage: Bacteria; Pseudomonadati; Pseudomonadota; Alphaproteobacteria; Hyphomicrobiales. RNAcentral also lists the same sequence under 1 other name. The record is from RNAcentral.
GGGCGCAUAGCUCAGUUGGUAGAGCAGGUGACUCUUAAUCACCGGGUCCAAGGUUCGAGUCCUUGUGCGCCCACCA